AUCGUAAAGCUCUGUUGUAAGUCAAGAACGGGUGUGAGAGUGGAAAGUUCACACUGUGACGGUAGCUUACCAGAAAGGGACGGCUAACUACGUGCCAGCAGCCGCGGUAAUACGUAGGUCCCGAGCGUUGUCCGGAUUUAUUGGGCGUAAAGCGAGCGCAGGCGGUUUGAUAAGUCUGAAGUUAAAGGCUGUGGCUCAACCAUAGUUCGCUUUGGAAACUGUCAAACUUGAG
RNAcentral lists this ribosomal RNA (232 nucleotides) under Lactobacillus delbrueckii subsp. bulgaricus. Its description in RNAcentral is "partial 16S ribosomal RNA". It matches the Rfam family "Bacterial small subunit ribosomal RNA", at positions 422 to 646 of the family's 1533-position model. The record is from RNAcentral. Lineage: Bacteria; Bacillati; Bacillota; Bacilli; Lactobacillales; Lactobacillaceae.